UGAGUUUGAUCCUGGCUCAGGAUGAACGCUAGCGGCAGGCCUAAUACAUGCAAGUCGAACGGUAAGUUGAGUAGCAAUACUUGACCUAGAGUGACGUAAGGGUGCGUAACACGUAUGCAAUCUGCCCAUAACUGGAGGAUAGCUCCCCGAAAGGGGAAUUAACACUCCGUAAUAUAAUCGGAAGGCAUCUUUUGAUUAUUAAAACUCCGGUGGUUAUGGAUGAGCAUGCGUCUGAUUAGCUAGUUGGUAGUGUAAAGGACUACCAAGGCGAUGAUCAGUAGGGGAACUGAGAGGUUGAUCCCCCACACUGGCACUGAGAUACGGGCCAGACUCCUACGGGAGGCAGCAGUAGGGAAUAUUGGACAAUGGGUGCAAGCCUGAUCCAGCCAUGCCGCGUGCAGGAAGAAGGCCUUCUGGGUUGUAAACUGCUUUUGCCAGGGGAUAAAAAGCCCAUGCGUGGGAAAUUGAAGGUACCUGGUGAAUAAGCCACGGCUAACUACGUGCCAGCAGCCGCGGUAAUACGUAGGUGGCAAGCGUUGUCCGGAUUUAUUGGGUUUAAAGGGUGCGUAGGCGGCCUUGUAAGUCAGUGCUGAAAUAUCCCGGCUUAACCGGGAGGGUGGCAUUGAUACUGCAGGGCUUGAGUAAAGUUGAGGUUGGCGGAAUUGACGGUGUAGCGGUGAAAUGCUUAGAUAUCGUCAAGAACACCUAUUGCGUAGGCAGCUAACUAAGCUUUAACUGACGCUGAGGCACGAAAGUGUGGGGAUCAAACAGGAUUAGAUACCCUGGUAGUCCACACUGUA
This 800-nucleotide ribosomal RNA is filed under the name uncultured bacterium. RNAcentral describes it as "bacterial SSU rRNA". It matches the Rfam family "Bacterial small subunit ribosomal RNA", at positions 1 to 804 of the family's 1533-position model. The record is from RNAcentral.